GCUGUGCAAGCCAGCAGCCAAUCAGGGAAGGGCCUACUGAGAGCCAAUCAGGGCUGAGAUUAGAGCCAGCCAAUCAGGGCUAGGCUAGGCCCUAUAUAAUGGCUGCCCAGGACAGCAGUAGGUAGUCUGUCCCAGAACUUCCUGGGGGAAGGUCUGUCUCCAGAGCAGGAGACAGCACCUCGGGCUGGGUAGUAUUGCACCUGGCCAUCCGAUGGCCGAGAGAAAUUGUAACCGGCCCUUGAGAUAAGGGGUAGACUUUGGGGGUUGCAGUUGGCCACUGAGGCAGGUGCAAGGACUGUUGCUAACCCCCGCCCCUUGGAAUGGGGUGUGGAUGGACUAGUGGGCACUGCUGGAGGGGCAGUGGCCUGAAGGACACUCUCAAGCAGUGAGCAACGUGGGUCCAGAUGCCAACGGAGGACAAGAGACGGAUGGGACGCUGCCAGCAGAGGGCGUUCCCCAUUGACUGAGCUAAUUCCCCGAGCGACCAGCGGGAGGCGCCAUGGUGGUAUGACAAGAAUAGGAGCCUCCUUCCCAGCUGUCUACCAGGCCCUGGGAUCUGGCACAGCCUCCCAGACGGGCACAUCCUGUAGCUGAGCCGCGUCAGGGAGCAGUGGGGACAGGUCACCUCGUCCCAUCCAAGCAAGCAAUGCUGGCUCUCAAAGAGGCUUAGAUGGAAGACCCCAGUCCCUCAUGGAGGAAGGGGCUCUCCAGAGACGUCCUCGAACCUGGACUCCUGAGAGCAUUUCUGGCAGGAGACUCCAGCCCCUGGGGCAUGAAGAGAGCAUCGGGUAGUCUUGAUCACCUGGCAUCUCCGGUCUCUAGCUCCACUUCCCGCAGCAGUGGGGUUUCUCCAGCCCCCUCACCACACCUGUCAGCCUCUGAAUGUCAGAGUCACCAGAACGAGCAAAUUUCAGUUCCA
This is a non-coding RNA of Chrysemys picta bellii (western painted turtle), 919 nucleotides long. NCBI's taxonomy places the organism in Eukaryota, Metazoa, Chordata, Testudines, Emydidae. The record is from RefSeq and is a predicted model, not a curated record.